This 494-nucleotide ribosomal RNA is filed under the name uncultured bacterium. RNAcentral describes it as "partial 16S ribosomal RNA". It matches the Rfam family "Bacterial small subunit ribosomal RNA", at positions 28 to 507 of the family's 1533-position model. The record is from RNAcentral.
GACGAACGCUGGCGGCGUGCUUAACACAUGCAAGUCGAACGGAAAGGCCUGUCCUUCCUUGUGUUGGACGGGUACUCGAGUGGCGAACGGGUGAGUAACACGUGAGUGAUCUGCCCCCAACUUGGGUAUAAGCCUGGGAAACUGGGUCUAAUUCCCGAUAGGACUGCAGGGUGGUGCCUGUGGUGGAAAACGAUUUUCUAGUGGUUGGGGAUGAGCUCGCGGCCUAUCAGCUUGUUGGUGGGGUAAUGGCCUACCAAGGCGGCGACGGGUAGCCGGCCUGAGAGGGGGGACGGCCACAUUGGGACUGGGAUACGGCCCAGACUCCUACGGGAGGCAGCAGUGGGGAAUAUUGCACAAUGGGCGGAAGCCUGAUGCAGCGACGCCGCGUGGGGGAUGACGGCCUUCGGGUUGUAAACUCCUUUCGACCGCGAGGAAGCCGCCUGGUUGGAAGGGUGGUGACGGUAGUGGUAGAAGAAGCACCGGCUAACUACGUG